This is a long non-coding RNA of Lathyrus oleraceus (garden pea), 1470 nucleotides long. RefSeq lists it as uncharacterized. The record is from RefSeq and is a predicted model, not a curated record. Lineage: Eukaryota; Viridiplantae; Streptophyta; Magnoliopsida; Fabales; Fabaceae. The transcript has 2 exons.
CUAGGAUUAAUCUAAAUAUUAUUCUACACCACUAACCUUCUCUUAAUGCUUAAUCAACACAAACAAUGGAUCUUAAACAUCAAUGGACCUAGAUGGAGGGGAAUCUGGCCCAAAAACUGGUGCAUCGGUGCUAGCAGGCCCAUGGUCCAUCUGAAAGUAACCUCAGACGACACGUCUUCGUGGCAAGGGAAUAGUCAGGGUUGACACAUCAACCGAAAAAUCUAGCAAAAUGUUAUCUACACGGGAAAUCUGCAACCGCAAACAACUCAACAAUGCUCACUGCUCUCUCUCCUCCGCACAUGGCUUCCGCUCAAACUCUCUCUCCGCCGCGCCGAAACUCACGGCCAGCAACGGUGGAGAUCUGACCUCCUCUUGAGACUACACCAAAGCAAACAGUUCUUCGACCUUAACCUAACUACAAAAUUAACUUCUCCUAAUUCUCAACGAACAACCUGAAUCGGAGGAGAGUUUCCAUGAAUCUCAAGAUUCGUCGGUUAAAUCAGGCGGCGAAACCGCGAUAACUCAUCUAACUAGUUCAAGGAUGAUGAUCCUCCAGUAGAACCUACGCUCUAGUAACAAGCUUACAGCGAAAGCGAGGGAAGAAGUAAAUACCUCUGGUAUGAACUCCGACAGGGAUGAGCAGUGGACUAUGGAUGUGGUUGCUCCGAUUCGAUUGAUGAAUUCUCUCUCCUGGUUUGAGCGCCUUUUCUACGUUUUGUUUUCUUCAACUGAGAUCUCACCUUCUUCCGUUUCUUGCUCACUCGAUGCGAUUUCGGUAACGCAUUGCGGUUCUUGGCCGAGUUGUUGUAGUGCGGUUCGUUAUCGGUGGUGGAGUGUCUCCGUGAUGAAGACCGAAGCGCUGAUGAAGAGAAGAUUGAAGUCGAUGAUCAAAGAAAAGAGAGGACGAUUGAUUCCGAAAGGUUAAUCGUUCCUUAUGAAGUGAAUUUGUUAUUGAAAUGGCUUACAUCGCCGGCUUAAUUGGCUUGUGUGUACUAGCUUAUGAUGGGAGCAACAACUUGUGUUUGAAGGUGUUAGUUUGUGCAGGCUUCGGUAGCGGCUUUGAGCUGUUGUUGUGGAUUGAUGGAGUUAGAAUCAUGGUUCUGCAGGUGUAUAGCAGAUGGGAGUACUUUUGCAUUGGCUUGCAUUUGGAUUCGGUGUGUAGCUGCUGGCUCAGCGUGCGUUUCAAGUGCUUGUUGUUGUAGCUUUAUCAGCUUCUCACACGCACUUAAGUUGCAGCUUCUAUUUGCAUUGUACUGCUGUACUUUAUUUAUUAUUUUUCCAUUUGGCUGCUGUCAUUUUUUCUGCUACUGUCCUGCGAUUUGAAGCUUCACUUCCUUUUGAUUUUGCUGUUAGCUUAUUUGAUUGUUGUUUCUAUCUUUUUCUUAGCUUUUUAUUUUUCUUAUUUGGACAAUGUUAAUGUAUGGAUUGGAUUUUGUGGUAAUUGUAUCAACAAUGGAUAAUUGGUAUGAA